AGGACGAACGCUGGCGGCGUGCUUAACACAUGCAAGUCGAACGGUAAGGCCCUUCGGGGUACACGAGUGGCGAACGGGUGAGUAACACGUGGGUGAUCUGCCCUGCACUUUGGGAUAAGCCUGGGAAACUGGGUCUAAUACCGAAUAUGACCAUGGGAUGCAUGUUUCGUGGUGGAAAGCUUUUGCGGUGUGGGAUGGGCCCGCGGCCUAUCAGCUUGUUGGUGGGGUGAUGGCCUACCAAGGCUUCGACGGGUA
Molecule: ribosomal RNA, 255 nt
Filed under: uncultured bacterium
Lineage: Bacteria
Description: partial small subunit ribosomal RNA
Rfam family: Bacterial small subunit ribosomal RNA
Source: RNAcentral